RNAcentral lists this long non-coding RNA (1514 nucleotides) under Pongo abelii (Sumatran orangutan). RNAcentral's name for it is "lincRNA". Lineage: Eukaryota; Metazoa; Chordata; Mammalia; Primates; Hominidae. The record is from RNAcentral.
ACCCCGCCCCUCACACUAUGCCGGGCAGUUCCCUCCGAGCCCCGCUGGGACAGCGUCUACACCGCACACACCACAGACAAGCCAGAGAACGGUGCCUGCACCGGACACAUCAUAACACCAGCACAGAACAGCGUCCACACCGCACACCCCACAGGUGAGCCUAGGGAGCUGUGUCUACACUGCAGACGUCGGCCCGAGCACACACAUCUUCAUGUAGGCUCAGCAGAGGGGGAAAAACACCUCCCCGAGGGUGGGAGAGUCGCGGCCAGCAGACAGAUGGAUGGACGGACGGAUGGACGGACACAGGCGAACAGGCAGCCCAGGGGUGAGCUGAGCCGGUCCAAUGGGCCAGGACCCGGCUCCGUGUGCCCUUCACAGUCAGGAUGACAGAACCCCAUGGAAUAUGAAAAAUGCCGGGAGACAGACCCCGGGGGCACAGCCCCUCACCGGGCGGGGAAGCCGCCAGAGGGAAGCUCAGCUCCAGACCACCAGAGCCCCAUCUGAUUAAGGCAUCGAGAUCAAAGCUCAGCAGAGGGCGGCUCAUGAUGGGCAGCUCAAAAAAAUAAACCCAUCAAUCAGAGUCCGUGUUCCUGUGACCGGCGGCGGGUGCAGAUGCAGAGGAGGCUUCUCAGCGUGGUUCCUCCUCCUCUAGGAACCUGCCACCCCGCUCAAGCCUGACACAGGCUGGGACAGCCAGGACGGCCGCAGCAGGGGCAACACGAGGCACAUCGACAUCCCAAGGCCCCCGGGCCUGUCACCAAGUCCCGGCUUGGGGAGUGUCCCCUGGCCACACUGGUCCUGCUCCGGGCAGGCUCCCUGCUGCAUGGAUCAGUUCCGGCUUGGGGAGUGUCCCCUGGCCACACUGGUCCUGCUCCCUCCUGUGUGGUCUCCUAGGCACGUGGCUUCUCCCUCCGGGGCCCAGGCUCUGGUGUGAGCUGCUUUUUCCGUAGGAGACGCCCGUGCUUGCAGCUCACGCCUUUGUCUGGUGCCCUGGCCUCACACCUAUAGGAACUGGGUACCUGGGGGCCUCUUCAUCUUUACUUGUCUCAGCUUAGAGAAGCCCAGCUACACUUCCUCCAUGCCUGGAUUCAUGCACGGCCCCACAGGGUGAGGCCUGGACACCCUCACGGGCACUGGGGCUCCACGGAUGCAGAAGGCAGCCCGGCCCGGUAGCUCGGUGGUCUGAGAUGGAGGUGGAGUAAGACAGAGCGACAAAGACUGCGUCCUGGAGGCAGGCUCCAAGCCUCCCUGAGCUCAGAGAGCCCGUGUGCGCCAGGAAGCCACACCUGCAGGACCCGAGUUGGAACUCAGAGGCUGGUACAGCUGCGGUGCUUGUCGUGUAGAUAAGGAUGGCCUCCUCUGGCGGCCAAAGUUAAUUAAACUGACAAUCUUGAUAAGCUGCACAGUUAACUGCUCGGGGACAAAGACGGGAGCCUUGUUUGUGGUUUCUUGUUCUUUCCUGUGCCCCACAGUCAUUUUAAAUUAAAUUCAAUGGCUUAUCUGUGCUAACCCAA